Molecule: non-coding RNA, 74 nt
Filed under: Dunaliella tertiolecta
Lineage: Eukaryota; Viridiplantae; Chlorophyta; Chlorophyceae; Chlamydomonadales; Dunaliellaceae
Source: RNAcentral
AUUGGCAUGGAUCCAUGAUAUGUUUGGACGCAUCCACGAAAAUGUAGGGGGUGUUCCUUAAAACAAUUAUACUG